Numida meleagris (helmeted guineafowl) is the source of this 692-nucleotide long non-coding RNA. RefSeq lists it as uncharacterized. The record is from RefSeq and is a predicted model, not a curated record. The transcript has 5 exons. Lineage: Eukaryota; Metazoa; Chordata; Aves; Galliformes; Numididae.
ACCUCUCAAACCCCACCCCGUAGCUUGAGAUCUGUUGCUGCGGUUCUGUCCAGUACGGCUCUGAAGCAGCUAACCUCAGUGAUUAAGCCGAGAAGGAGACCAGACAGAGGAUGAUUAAGUGGCUUGCCAAAAAUUCACCCUACAGAGCAGAACAGCAAACUGAACAGCAGUGGGAGGAGUGAAGUAGGAGUGGUGAACAGAUGGUUCUUGGCACAUCGAUGGCAUUUGUCCAUCUGAAGAGGAAUGUGAAAUUUCUGGUACUGUCAUGAGCUUUUCCAUGCACUUAAGUCCUGAGGCAAAACCCACUGAAGACUUCCUAACAUCAAUGGGCUUUGGAUCUAAUCCAUAGACAGCUAGUUUCUUUUGGAAAAUAUUGAAUGAAAUAUUUGAAGCCUCAAGAUAUAUUCACAACAUAUUUCAAUCAAAAAUCUUAGUCUCAGAUUAUUCUGAGACUGAAACUGUGAGAAUACUCAUGACAAGGAUGACUACGUACUUGUUGUAAUGUGUUGCACUUGUUACUUCAGUCAACAGUCACUGAAAAUGGGACAACAGGCAAAAUGGACCCUUGGAAUGACCCAACAAAUCAACACUUCUAAAACUUAGCAAAGAAAAGAUCUACCUCGAAAAUAAAUUGAUAAGUAAUGCUGAACAAUCACUCUUAAGGACAAUAUUUUCUGAUUUGUUCUCUACCU